GACAGUCGCCGCUUCGUCGUCGUCCUCUUCGGGGGAGACGGGCGGAGGGGAGGAAAGUCCGGGCUCCAUAGGGCAGGGUGCCAGGUAACGCCUGGGGGGCGCAAGCCCACGACCAGUGCAACAGAGAGCAAACCGCCGAUGGCCCACGUAAGUGGGAUCAGGUAAGGGUGAAACGGUGCGGUAAGAGCGCACCGCGCGUCUGGUAACAGUUCGCGGCACGGUAAACUCCACCCGGAGCAAGGCCAAAUAGGGGUUCAUAAGGUACGGCCCGUACUGAACCCGGGUAG
This 287-nucleotide RNase P RNA is filed under the name Burkholderia contaminans. RNAcentral describes it as "partial RNase P RNA component class A". It matches the Rfam family "Bacterial RNase P class A", at positions 12 to 274 of the family's 367-position model. From Rfam's summary of the family: Ribonuclease P (RNase P) is a ubiquitous endoribonuclease, found in archaea, bacteria and eukarya as well as chloroplasts and mitochondria. Lineage: Bacteria; Pseudomonadati; Pseudomonadota; Betaproteobacteria; Burkholderiales; Burkholderiaceae. The record is from RNAcentral.